GGGGGAGUACCAGAGCGGUCAAAUGGGGCAGACUGUAAAUCUGUUGGCGCAGCCUUCGGAGGUUCGAAUCCUUCCUCCCCCACCA
This 85-nucleotide transfer RNA is filed under the name Bacteroidales bacterium. RNAcentral describes it as "tRNA-Tyr". It matches the Rfam family "tRNA". Rfam says of the family: Transfer RNA (tRNA) molecules are approximately 80 nucleotides in length. Their secondary structure includes four short double-helical elements and three loops (D, anti-codon, and T loops). Further hydrogen bonds mediate the characteristic L-shaped molecular structure. tRNAs have two regions of fundamental functional importance: the anti-codon, which is responsible for specific mRNA codon recognition, and the 3' end, to which the tRNAs corresponding amino acid is attached (by aminoacyl-tRNA synthetases). tRNAs cope with the degeneracy of the genetic code in two manners: having more than one tRNA (with a specific anti-codon) for a particular amino acid; and 'wobble' base-pairing, i.e. permitting non-standard base-pairing at the 3rd anti-codon position. Lineage: Bacteria; Pseudomonadati; Bacteroidota; Bacteroidia; Bacteroidales. The record is from RNAcentral.